AUUGAACGCUGGCGGCAUGCCUUACACAUGCAAGUCGAACGGCAGCACGGGUGCUUGCCCCUGGUGGCGAGUGGCGAACGGGUGAGUAAUACAUCGGAACAUGUCCUGUAGUGGGGGAUAGCCCGGCGAAAGCCGGAUUAAUACCGCAUACGAUCUACGGAUGAAAGCGGGGGAACUUCGGGCCUAGCGCUUUAGGGUUGGUUGAUGGCUGAUUAGCUAGUUGGUGGGGUAAAGGCCUACCAAGGCGACGAUCAGUAGCUGGUCUGAGAGGACGACCAGCCACACUGGGACUGAGACACGGCCCAGACUCCUACGGGAGGCAGCAGUGGGGAAGUUUGGACAAUGGGCGAAAGCCUGAUCCAGCAAUGCCGCGUGUGUGAAGAAGGCCUUCGGGUUGUAAAGCACUUUUGUCCGGAAAGAAAUCCUUGGCCCUAAUACGGUCGGGGGAUGACGGUACCGGAAGAAUAAGCACCGGCUAACUACGUG
RNAcentral lists this ribosomal RNA (486 nucleotides) under uncultured bacterium. RNAcentral's name for it is "partial 16S ribosomal RNA". It matches the Rfam family "Bacterial small subunit ribosomal RNA", at positions 30 to 507 of the family's 1533-position model. The record is from RNAcentral.